UACGAAGGGGGCUAGCGUUGUUGUCGGAAUCACUGGGCGUUAAAGGGCGCGUAGGCGGUCCGUUCAAGUCGGGGGUGAAAGCCUGUGGCUCAACCACAGAAUUGCCUUCGAUACUGGACGGCUCGAGACCGGAAGAGGUCAGUGGAACUGACGAGUGUAGAGGUGAAAUUCGUAGAUAUUCGCAAGAACACCAGUGGCGAAGGCGGACUGACUGGUCCGGUUCUGACGCUGAGGCGCGAAAGCGUGGGGAGCAAACAGG
This 259-nucleotide ribosomal RNA is filed under the name uncultured bacterium. Its description in RNAcentral is "partial 16S ribosomal RNA". It matches the Rfam family "Bacterial small subunit ribosomal RNA", at positions 524 to 776 of the family's 1533-position model. The record is from RNAcentral.